RNAcentral lists this ribosomal RNA (443 nucleotides) under uncultured bacterium. Its description in RNAcentral is "partial 16S ribosomal RNA". It matches the Rfam family "Bacterial small subunit ribosomal RNA", at positions 338 to 795 of the family's 1533-position model. The record is from RNAcentral.
CCUACGGGUGGCAGCAGUGGGGAAUAUUGGGCAAUGGGCGCAAGCCUGACCCAGCAACGCCGCGUGAAGGAAGAAGGCUUUCGGGUUGUAAACUUCUUUUCUCAGGGACGAAGCAAGUGACGGUACCUGAGGAAUAAGCCACGGCUAACUACGUGCCAGCAGCCGCGGUAAUACGUAGGUGGCAAGCGUUAUCCGGAUUUACUGGGUGUAAAGGGCGUGUAGGCGGGACUGCAAGUCAGAUGUGAAAACCACGGGCUCAACCUGUGGCCUGCAUUUGAAACUGUAGUUCUUGAGUACUGGAGAGGCAGACGGAAUUCCUAGUGUAGCGGUGAAAUGCGGAGAUAUUAGGAGGAACACCAGUGGCGAAGGCGGUCUGCUGGACUGCCACUGACAUUGAUGCUCGAAAGUGUGGGUAUCAAACAGGAUUAGAUACCCGGGUAGUC